UGCUUGUUGCUUUUCUUAGUGUUCAUGUUUGUCACGAGAGUAUAUGGUUAAAAUCAGUUCAAUCUCAAAAUGUAAGUUUUACAUGUAGAAACAUAUGUUAGGAUAUUAGAAUACAGAUGUGCAUGAAUCAUGGAAGCAAAGAAUCACUUUAAGAAAAAGCUGAAUAUCUCGUAUUUAUUUGCGUGAAUGUUAACAUUUGGAUAAAUCUCUGUUUGAUUCCAUUAUGUUUGUGGAUUUCCACCCAUGAAUUUUAUUUUAACUUGGGAAAUUCUGUGGCCUGAUGAUUCAUAGACAUUUCUCAUGGCGGAAUGCAUAGGCAUGCAUAUAUAUUGAUCAAAUACUCAUUUUUUUAUGGGAGCAAUGUGUAUAUCAUCUAGCUUAUCUUAUGGAAACAAAUAAAUAAAAAGGUUAUCAUCCACCAAAACUAUAUUUGUCCAAUACACACAAAAAAACCCAUAAAAGUAGGCAUAUUAUAUCAGUAUAUUUUCCAAUAAUGGUUAGCUGAGAUACAACUGGUCAGUGUACCUCAUAGUCUUAACUUAUCAUGCAUUCCAUUGUACUGAUCCGAUGUUUUUACUCUUGAAAGUUAUAUACUUAAAUAUUUCUUACAAAAUCAAUAUCAGCUUGUAUCUGAGGACUUCGAUUACUCGGAAUUUGCGUGUAAAUGUAAUUGUUUCAGAUAAUUUGUUUGCUUCUUUUGACAUUAUUUUAUUUGAUCUUGAACUAUAGCAGGUUGUCGAAUGAUGAUUCACAUAUGUUACAAAAUGCUGUUAUAAAUUUCGGGAAUAUGAUUGUUGGUGACAUUGCCAUCGAUAUUUCUACUCUUGAACGAGAGAUUAGUUAUUGGACUACUUUCAGAUUCUUGACACCGAAUGAUGGAGUUAGGGAAAGUUUCUCACUUCUAAAUAAACAUAUUUCAGAUCUGAGUAUGCUUACAACCAUACAAGGAUAUCCGCGUACGUUUUAUGAUCAGGAUACUUGCCAACGAUUUUUGGCUGUCUAUGUAAUUGUUCAACAAAUACUCAAAGCAGCUACAGAUUUUGCAAAACAUGCAUCUUUCAAUAAUAAAAAGAUUCAAAGUUUCGCAUCCUUUGGUUACAUCAAGCCAGGGUCUUCAGAUAUUCAUACUGUUCAGGUUAGCGGUGAGGAUCCAAGGGGAAAGGCCACACAAGAUUUUAAAUCUCGCAGCGAUGAAGUAAUGAAGAGGUUGGUCCAUUGGCUUGCCAAACAUCAAACUGUGGAAAGCCUGUUGAAGUUCUCCCAAUUUGAGUUCUCCGAAUUUGAUUUUGAGUAGUGUGCUGAUUCAAGUCUUAUGUUGCCAACGUGUAUACAGCCAUCUAAUGAAUCAGCUUAAUUUCCUUUGUAGUUAAGGUAGUGUACUACCAGUAUUUAACAAUUAACAUGCAGGGUAUAAGUUUAGGAAAUGAGACUUUAAAUACAAGUAUGCAUUAGGUUCGCGUGGGCCCAUUUGUCA
Long non-coding RNA from Panicum hallii, 1474 nucleotides. RefSeq lists it as uncharacterized. The record is from RefSeq and is a predicted model, not a curated record. NCBI's taxonomy places the organism in Eukaryota, Viridiplantae, Streptophyta, Magnoliopsida, Poales, Poaceae. The transcript is spliced from 3 exons.